Molecule: non-coding RNA, 79 nt
Organism: Malassezia cuniculi
Lineage: Eukaryota; Fungi; Basidiomycota; Malasseziomycetes; Malasseziales; Malasseziaceae
Source: the annotation of a GenBank genome assembly
CAGGGCGUGGUCUAGUGGUCAUGACUCCUCAUUUACAAACGUUCUGAGGCGAUCCCCGGUUCGAACCCGGGCGUCCUGA